AACCCGUGGCCUCCUAAUUAUUGAUAGUUUGCAAGUUCUUAUGCUGCGCAGGAUUUGGCUCAUCUUCUGAAUUUACACUACAUGAAAAGAUGCACUGAUGAGAACCAGAAUAUCUAUUUCAUAUAUUUACCACCAUUGGAUUGAACUGUAAGAGCAAUGUCCUACAGCAUCAUUUCUAUUCACAAGUUCAUCCAAGCCAUUUUGAAGCUGACUCUGCAAUAGCCUUCACUCCUGCAGACUUUACAAUGGAGAGAACAAUCAGCAAACACUAAGCACCAAGCGGUGCUGUAUUUCCAGCUGUAUUUUCCCCUUCAUGGGGAAAAGCAAUAAAUAAAAUUGAAAAUGUC
Long non-coding RNA from Pantherophis guttatus, 347 nucleotides. RefSeq lists it as uncharacterized. The record is from RefSeq and is a predicted model, not a curated record. NCBI's taxonomy places the organism in Eukaryota, Metazoa, Chordata, Lepidosauria, Squamata, Colubridae.